CGGCGGACGGGUGAGUAACGCGUGGGUAACCUGCCUCAUACAGGGGGAUGACAGUUGGAAACGGCUGCUAAUACCGCAUAAGCGCACAGUACCGCAUGGUACGGUGUGAAAAACUCCGGUGGUAUGAGAUGGACCCGCGUCUGAUUAGGUAGUUGGUGGGGUAACGGCCUACCAAGCCGACGAUCAGUGGCCGACCUGAGGGGGUGACCGGCCACAUUGGGACUGAGACACGGCCCAA
This 238-nucleotide ribosomal RNA is filed under the name uncultured bacterium. RNAcentral describes it as "partial 16S ribosomal RNA". It matches the Rfam family "Bacterial small subunit ribosomal RNA", at positions 96 to 334 of the family's 1533-position model. The record is from RNAcentral.